This 448-nucleotide ribosomal RNA is filed under the name uncultured bacterium. Its description in RNAcentral is "bacterial SSU rRNA". It matches the Rfam family "Bacterial small subunit ribosomal RNA", at positions 423 to 863 of the family's 1533-position model. The record is from RNAcentral.
UUGUAAAGCUCUGUCGAGCGGAAAGAAAUGCCGGAUGGCCAAUAUCCAUCAUGUUUGACGGUAUCUCCAGAGGAAGCUCCGGCUAACUCCGUGCCAGCAGCCGCGGUAAUACGGGGGGUGCAAGCGUUGUUCGGAAUCAUUGGGCGUAAAGAGCGUGUAGGCGGCUGGACAAGUCAGAUGUGAAAUCCCUGGGCUUAACCCAGGAAGUGCAUUUGAAACUGUCUAGCUGGAGUAAGGGAGAGGAAAGUGGAAUUCCUGGUGUAGAGGUGAAAUUCGUAGAUAUCAGGAGGAACACCGGUGGCGAAGGCGACUUUCUGGCCCAAUACUGACGCUGAGACGCGAAAGCGUGGGAGCAAACAGGAUUAGAUACCCUGGUAGUCCACGCUGUAAACGAUGUUCACUAGGUUUUGGAGUUUCGACCCUUUCAGAGCCGCAGCUAACGCAUUAA